UCGGGAAUUUUGGGCAAUGGGCGAAAGCCUGACCCAGCAACGCCGCGUGAGGGAUGAAGUAUUUCGGUAUGUAAACCUCGAAAGAAUGGGAAGAAUAAAUGACGGUACAAUUUAUAAGCUCCGGCUAACUACGUGCCAGCAGCCGCGGUAAUACGUAGGGAGCAAGCGUUGUUCGGAUUUACUGGGCGUAAAGGGCGCGUAGGCGGCGCGGUAAGUCACUUGUGAAAUCUCUGAGCUUAACUCAGAACGGCCAAGUGAUACUGCUGUGCUAGAGUGCGGAAGAGGCAACCGGAAUUCUUGGUGUAGCGGUGAAAUGCGUAGAUAUCAAGAGGAACACCUGAGGCGAAGGCGGGUUGCUGGGCCGACACUGACGCUGAUGCGCGAAAGCCAGGGGAGCAAACG
This 402-nucleotide ribosomal RNA is filed under the name uncultured bacterium. Its description in RNAcentral is "bacterial SSU rRNA". It matches the Rfam family "Bacterial small subunit ribosomal RNA", at positions 355 to 774 of the family's 1533-position model. The record is from RNAcentral.